RNAcentral lists this long non-coding RNA (1159 nucleotides) under Salmo salar (Atlantic salmon). RNAcentral describes it as "lncRNA (ENSSSAG00000084110.1)". Lineage: Eukaryota; Metazoa; Chordata; Actinopteri; Salmoniformes; Salmonidae. The record is from RNAcentral.
AACAUAGCCUCUUCUCUGCCAUGUUCUGUGGUCUUCUCAAUGUGCAGUGGUUUUGUCCCUUAUUAACAAACGUGAUGCCUCUCUAGCGACUAUGAGCAUCAAGGUGGUGAGGGUAGGUAACAACAUCUCCACCCCGCUGAUCCUCAACACUGGGUCCCCACAAGGGUGCGUUCUUAGCCCUCUCCUGUACUCCCUGUUCACCCACGACUGCGUGGCCAUGCACACCUCCAACUCAAUCAUCAAGUUUGCAGACGACACUACAGUGGUAGGCUUGAUUACCAACAACGACGAGACGGCCUACAGGGAGGAGGUGAGGGCCCUCGGAGUGUGGUGUCAGGAAAACAACCUCACAUUCAAUGUCAACAAAACAAAGGAGAUGAUCGUGGACUUCAGGAAACAGCAGAGGGAGCACCCCCCCCCCCUAUCUACAUUGACGGGACAGUAGUGGAGAGGGUGGAGAGUUUUAAGUUCCUUGGCGUACACAUCACGGACAAACUGAAAUGGUCCACCCACACAGACAGCGUGGUCAAGAAGGCGCAGCAGCGCCUCUUCAACCUCAGGAGGCUAAAGAAAUUCGGCUUGUCACCAAAAACACUCUCAAACUUUUACAGAUGCACAAUCGAGAGCAUCCUGUCGGGCUGUAUCACCGCCUGGUACGGCAGCUGCUCCGCCCAUAACCGGAAGGCUGUCCAGAGGGUAGUGAGGUCUGCACAACACAUCACCGGGUGCAAACUACCUGCCCUCCAGGACACCUACACCACCCGAUGUCACAGGAAGGCCAAAAAGAUCAUCAAGGACAACAACCACCCGAGCCACUGCCUGUUCACCCCGCUAUCAUCCAGAAGGCGAGGGGCAAUAGACAGGUCAAGGCAGGUAGGGGUCAGUAAACCAGAGGUGGGGCAACGGUACCGGACGGCAGUCAGGCUCAGGUUCAGGCAGAGUGGUCAGGGAGAAGGGCUCAGAGUCAGGACAGGCAAGGAUCAAAACCAGGAGGGCGAGAAAAAGCGAGACUGAGAAAAGCAGGAGCUGAGACACAAAAACGCUGGUUGACUUGACAAACAAGACGAACUGGCAACAGACAAACAGUGAGCACAGGUAUAAAUACACAGGGGAUAAUGGGGAAGAUGGGCGACACCUGGAGGGGGUUGGAGACAAUCAC